AUACGGAGGGGACAAGCGUUAUUCGGAAUCACUGGGCGUAAAGGACGCGUCGGCGGGUUAUUAAGUCGGGUGUGAAAUCCAAUGGCUCAACCAUUGAACUGCAUUCGAAACUGAUAACCUAGAGUAUGGAAGGGGCAGGUGGAAUUAGUGGUGUAGGGGUAAAAUCCGUAGAUAUCACUAGGAAUACCGAAAGCGAAGGCGACCUGCUGGGACAUUACUGACGCUGAGGCGUGAAAGCGUGGGGAGCAAACAGGAUUAGAAACCCCGGUAGUCC
Molecule: ribosomal RNA, 274 nt
Filed under: uncultured bacterium
Lineage: Bacteria
Description: partial 16S ribosomal RNA
Rfam family: Bacterial small subunit ribosomal RNA
Source: RNAcentral